GACGAACCACACGAACGUUAUUCGGAAUUACUGGGCUUAAAGGGUGCGUAGGCGGCGUAGAAAGUUGGGUGUGAAAUCCCUCGGCUCAACCGAGGAACUACGCCCAAAACUACUAUGCUUGAGGAAGAUAGAGGUAAGCGGAACUUACGGUGGAGCGGUGAAAUGCGUUGAUAUCGUAAGGAACACCUGUGGCGAAAGCGGCUUACUGGGUCUUUUCUGACGCUGAUGCACGAAAGCCAGGGGAGCAAACGGG
RNAcentral lists this ribosomal RNA (253 nucleotides) under uncultured bacterium. RNAcentral's name for it is "partial 16S ribosomal RNA". It matches the Rfam family "Bacterial small subunit ribosomal RNA", at positions 524 to 776 of the family's 1533-position model. The record is from RNAcentral.